GCGCCAAUAGCUCAAGUGGCAGAGCAACUGACUCUUAAUCAGUGGGUUCGGGGUUCGAGUCCCUGUUGGCGCACCG
RNAcentral lists this transfer RNA (76 nucleotides) under Actinopolyspora erythraea. RNAcentral's name for it is "tRNA-Lys". It matches the Rfam family "tRNA". From Rfam's summary of the family: Transfer RNA (tRNA) molecules are approximately 80 nucleotides in length. Their secondary structure includes four short double-helical elements and three loops (D, anti-codon, and T loops). Lineage: Bacteria; Bacillati; Actinomycetota; Actinomycetes; Actinopolysporales; Actinopolysporaceae. The record is from RNAcentral.